Non-coding RNA from Monodelphis domestica (gray short-tailed opossum), 2164 nucleotides. The record is from RefSeq and is a predicted model, not a curated record. Lineage: Eukaryota; Metazoa; Chordata; Mammalia; Didelphimorphia; Didelphidae.
ACCAAAUGGGAUGCGGGGUCGGAGGAGCGUGGGGAGGAUGAGCCUGGGGACUGAAUUCUAUCCAUACACCCAUCUUCCCCUCCUGCUCCCAACAGAAUAAGACCUCCUUGAGGUCAGGGAUUUUUGUUCUUGUCUUUGUGGCCCAAGACCUGGCAUGCGAUUGCAAGGCCAACCUCUUUUGAGCAUCUAUGGACUUCACUGGGGAACCCUCUGAUGUUCUGAGCUUGCGGCAGUCAGGAUAGCUACACGUACAAGCUGGGGGAUUUGGAGGAUUCCACCAAUGACUUUCUCUUCCAUCUGGACUAGUCAAAGGGCAUCUUCCAUGACAGCAGCAUGCACCUUUGGUAAGUAUACAUCUAUCUCCCCAUUUCAUGCCUCCCAGAAUAGGCUUUUUUGUGGUUGUAUUUGUUAAGGAAAUUCCAGUGAUCUUAACAUAUCCAGGUGUUCUUUGUGAGAGGAGAGCUUUUAAGGCCGUUUUCUUUUAUAGAGUUAAUGAAUUUCUCCAUCCUGGGGGUUCUCAAAGUAUACCGAGGGGACCCCAAGUCCCUUUUAAGGGAUCCAUGUUGUCAAAAUUAUUUUCAUAAUACUAAUGCUUUAAUUCCUAAUAUGAUAAAUGCUGAUAGAUAUAACCAACAAACAUAGGUCUUGGUGGGUUGGGUGUGUAUAUGGAUCCUCAAUAAUUUUUAAGAGUAUAAGGAGGGUUCUAAGAUCAGCUGUUAGCAAAGGCCUUCUCUUGCCUUUUCAUGUCUCCAUUAAAGAUACCCUAGGUAAAUGUGGCACUUAUUCUGAUGAUGACUUCAUAAGAUGGAGAAAGCAGGAAUAUGAGUAGUUAUAGAGCAGUGAUGUCAAACCUUUUAGAGAUGGGAAUGCUGGGCCUCUCUCACCCUACCCCCCAGACCGUGCUGUUCCUGUCCCCCCCCAUACAGGGGAGAAAGUGUUCCAAUUGGGCAGAGAGGAGGGGGAGGUAAGGAAUGUCCCCACACAGAGGAGGGAGGGUAACAGCUCUGUCCCAAGUCACUCUUGCUCUCUAGUAUGGUGGGCGACUACAGACAUGCCCACAGAGGGGCUCUGUGUGCCCUUUUGAACACAUGUGCCUUAGGAUCACCAUCACUGUUCUAGAGAUUUUCCUUCCUCAGAUUGUUCAAUGUUUGCAAAAUUGCAUCAGCUCCAGAACAAAUCUCCUCUUUAUGACUUGGACAUUUUCUUUUCAUCUUUUUUUCUUUAAAAAUAAAAAUCCUUACCUUUUGUCUUAGACUCAACACUAAGUAUUGAUCCCAAGGCCAGAAGAGUGGUAAGAGCUAGGAAAUGGGGGUUAAGUGACUUGCCCCAGGUCACACAGCUAGGAAGUGUCUGAGGUAAGAUUUGAACCCAGGACCUCCCGUCUCCAGGCUUGGCUCUCAAUCCAUGGAGUCUCCUAGCUGCCCCCAGACUUCAAUAUUUUCUGUGUCAUUUUAACUUACUUGUGUUAAAGGGGCAUGAACAUGGUGAUGAUGGCCUAAAUUCCCAUCCAGCAUGGUCAUAUAGAUAGACCCUCAUAAGAGGGAGAAUGUCACCCCAUCCCUAAAGGUAGCUAGGUAAGGGAAACAGAGCCUACCUCGCCUGGUAAGAGAAUUAGAAAGCUGUCCAAUUGUAGCAAACACCUGUUUCCCUUACUUUCUGGGUUCUUCUAGGCCAAAGGCCCUCAAACCUUUUUUUGAUAACUAUUUUGAUUUAAUUGGUUUCCUUUAUAAUAUAUAUUUAUUUACAAACUUACCACUACUUUGAGAACAGGUCCAUAGGCUUCAUCAGCCUGCCAAAGGGGUCCCUGCCACACAAAAAGCCAAGAACCCUUGUUCUAGGCUCAGCUUAAGGUGUUAAAAUGUAUGACUUCUCUGCCAAUCAUAUUUUAUAAUUCCAUCACAAAUCUGGAUCACAGUGUUGGAGCAGCAAACCAUUUUUUUAUUGCAAACAUGACUCACAGCUGAAGAGGCCUUCCUCUAAGACCCCUACAAGUGAAGGCAAGGACACCCGGGCAGUAAGGAACCAUUUGGCCCGAGGCCAGAAAUCCUGCAAUUUCUCAGAAAAUAUCCUAGGACUAUUCUAUGGCCCCUCUCUCAGUGUUUCAGGGCCCUCCUCCUAGACAUUCAGAGUCCAGAGAAAGCCACCAGGGCAGGCUGGCAGAGAA